This 442-nucleotide ribosomal RNA is filed under the name uncultured bacterium. RNAcentral describes it as "bacterial SSU rRNA". It matches the Rfam family "Bacterial small subunit ribosomal RNA", at positions 958 to 1397 of the family's 1533-position model. The record is from RNAcentral.
AACGCGAAGAACCUUACCAGCCCUUGACAUCCCGGUCGCGGAUUCCAGAGACGGAAUCCUUCAGUUCGACUGGACCGGAGACAGGUGCUGCAUGGCUGUCGUCAGCUCGUGUCGUGAGAUGUUGGGUUAAGUCCCGCAACGAGCGCAACCCUCGCCCUUAGUUGCCAUCAUUCAGUUGGGCUCUCUAAGGGGACUGCCGGUGAUAAGCCGCGAGGAAGGUGGGGAUGACGUCAAGUCCUCAUGGCCCUUACGGGCUGGGCUACACACGUGCUACAAUGGCGGUGACAGUGGGAUGCAAUGGGGUAACCCUGCGCAAAUCUCAAAAAGCCGUCUCAGUUCGGAUUGUGCUCUGCAACUCGAGCACAUGAAGUUGGAAUCGCUAGUAAUCGCAGAUCAGCACGCUGCGGUGAAUACGUUCCCGGGCCUUGUACACACCGAUAGC